ACCCUCUGAAAAUUACCAACAGUAUUAUUAGUUACUGUGGGUAAGAUAAGUGUGCCUACAUUAAAUGGUACACUAAAGCUUAUUGCCCACCUAGGUAUUGCUUGUGGUCAAUAAAACCCGUGUGCCAAUAAAC
Carcharodon carcharias (great white shark) is the source of this 133-nucleotide small nucleolar RNA. RefSeq annotates it as small nucleolar RNA ACA64. The record is from RefSeq and is a predicted model, not a curated record. The transcript has a single exon. NCBI's taxonomy places the organism in Eukaryota, Metazoa, Chordata, Chondrichthyes, Lamniformes, Lamnidae.